UACAGAGGGUGCAAGCGUUGUUCGGAAUUAUUGGGCGUAAAGGGCGCGUAGGCGGUGCGGUAAGUCUGCAGUGAAAUCUCUGGGCUCAACUCAGAGUCUGCUGUGGAAACUGCCGUGCUUGAGUGUGGGAGAGGUGAGUGGAAUUCCAGGUGUAGCGGUGAAAUGCGUAGAUAUCUGGAGGAAUACCGGUGGCGAAGGCGGCAUCCUGGACCAUUACUGACGCUGAGGCGCGAAAGCUAGGGGAGCAAACGGG
Molecule: ribosomal RNA, 253 nt
Filed under: uncultured bacterium
Lineage: Bacteria
Description: partial 16S ribosomal RNA
Rfam family: Bacterial small subunit ribosomal RNA
Source: RNAcentral